GACGAACGCUGGCGGCGUGCUUAACACAUGCAAGUCGAGCGGUAAGGCCCUUUCGGGGGUACACGAGCGGCGAACGGGUGAGUAACACGUGGGUGACCUGCCCUCAGCUCUGGGAUAAGCCUGGGAAACCGGGUCUAAUACCGGAUAUGACUCCAUGACGCAUGUUGUGGGGUGGAAAGCCUUGUGCGGCUGAGGAUGGGCCCGCGGCCUAUCAGCUUGUUGGUGGGGGAUGGCCUACCAAGGCGACGACGGGUAGCCGGCCUGAGAGGGCGACCGGCCACACUGGGACUGAGACACGGCCCAGACUCCUACGGGAGGCAGCAGUGGGGAAUCUUGCGCAAUGGGCGAAAGCCUGACGCAGCGACGCCGCGUGAGGGAUGACGGCC
Molecule: ribosomal RNA, 386 nt
Filed under: uncultured bacterium
Lineage: Bacteria
Description: bacterial SSU rRNA
Rfam family: Bacterial small subunit ribosomal RNA
Source: RNAcentral